RNAcentral lists this unclassified non-coding RNA (240 nucleotides) under soil metagenome. RNAcentral's name for it is "partial contains 5.8S ribosomal RNA, internal transcribed spacer 2, and large subunit ribosomal RNA". The record is from RNAcentral.
AACACUGUUAACCUGCGGUACCUGCGGAGGGAUCAUUAUAGUAUAUGGAAUCUCCAUUCUAUAAACCCACUCUGCGUAUCUUGUAACUGUUGCUUCCAUGGGACUUGGUUCCGCCACACCGGCUUCACGGCUGGUGAGCGCCCAUGGAAGGAGAAACAAAGCUCUUCUUUGAAAUGUAGUCAGUCUGAACAAGUUUUUAUAAACGUUAAAACUUUUAACAAUGGAUCUCAGAUCGGAAGA